GUCAAGACCUACUCUUUCGUGUGGAAUACAUCAAAGGAAAACUGUAUGCCGGCAUUAAUGACCUUGAGGGUGUUGACUUCCAGAACAGCGUCCAGAACACUGGAACAAAGUUGAUGGAAACAGUG
Long non-coding RNA from Ixodes scapularis (black-legged tick), 125 nucleotides. RefSeq lists it as uncharacterized. The record is from RefSeq and is a predicted model, not a curated record. The transcript has 4 exons. Lineage: Eukaryota; Metazoa; Arthropoda; Arachnida; Ixodida; Ixodidae.